RNAcentral lists this transfer RNA (73 nucleotides) under Rhipicephalus microplus (southern cattle tick). RNAcentral describes it as "tRNA-Val". It matches the Rfam family "tRNA". Rfam says of the family: Transfer RNA (tRNA) molecules are approximately 80 nucleotides in length. Their secondary structure includes four short double-helical elements and three loops (D, anti-codon, and T loops). Lineage: Eukaryota; Metazoa; Arthropoda; Arachnida; Ixodida; Ixodidae. The record is from Rfam by way of RNAcentral.
GUUCUUGUGGUGUAGUGGUUAUCACAUCCGCCUAACACGCGGAAGGUCCCAGGUUCGAUCCCUGGCGAGAACA